CCAUUCCGAAGAAGCAAAAGUAAUUUACAAGACCAACGCCGAACCGAUCUUGAUCAGAAAUUGAUAGAACCUCGUGGGGUUACCACGAACAACACCAUCAUUAAAGGCAGACAGAGGAAAGGAGGUAGUGUUGUAAACAACCGAGCUGACAUGACCACCAGAACUCUACACAUACUCUCGAAAGAACGCAUCAACAUUUGGUUCCAUCAUCUUUUUGGUUCUAUCCUCUUAUACACGUGUUGCUCACCGUUUCCCUUUUAAGGCUGCACGCGUCGAUCAUCGUUGAAGGCUCUGCUUCGAUUUCUUCCGUGUUUCUUUCUCUCUCCCAUAGCAUUUUGCUUCGUUUCGAACCUGGCUUUCUUCCUCUCUCGCACUGCCCCUUUUGUUGCUGUCUAAUGUUUCCGUCUUUGUCUCGGCGCGAUCAUCCACCGCCGUUUUUGUUGCUGGAAUGGUCUUCUGCUCCUGCGAAUUUCUUUGGUUCAAAAGCCUUAGGUGGCUACAAGUUUUUGCCGUUUCGAUUCCAUCGAAAUUCAUUCUUUUCCUCGCGUGAUCUAGCGUUUUCGGAUGCCUGAUUUUCUGACAAGGCGAUUCUGGCCGAUGACCAGAGAACUAGACCUCGCUACUAUCGGUGAAGAUAAUACACAUGGUAACAUAGUACUCUUGCACCUCUGAAUAACGGGUCAACAACCCAACUCCAAACUAGCAAGCAACAUACCAUCCAUAACCCUCAUAAAGUCGCAUGGGCCACCACCAGGAAGGCCCCUCCAAACCCUCAGCAUCAGCAUCUUGAUUUCCUUUGAAGUGAAUGCCAAACUGCGGUGUGAUGUUCAAACUUUGUGGCCUUUUGAAAUAGUUGGGAGCAUAAUUCAUUCUACUACAGAUUGUUCCCCUUUCCAUUUCCAUGAGGUAAAAGCUCAAAUCUCUGUAUUUUUGUGUUGGAGAAGUUGGUGGAACAAAUUGUGCAUUACUCUACAUAUGACCAAUGUCUAUGAUUUUACCUAUUUUGAUAAUGCUUGAAUUAUGCUUCUUGGUUUUUAAUUGGGUUUUUGUGUAGUGAGUUGGAUAGAUAGUUCAUAGCAUAGGUUUGGUUGCAUAUCUAUUGGAAAAAGAAAAACACGGAGAGCCACAACACACUGAGGAUAAACUUUUUGUCUUCAGGAAGAUGAGGAGACAAAAAGAAGUACAAAGGGAUGGAUUUAGCUUCCACUUUUGAGGUUCCAGGCACCCAAAAACUGCCGAUUGGUACCCUGGAAUUAACAAUGUAGCUGGAGUUCUCUACUGGCUUAAGCACAGUAGAGAACUCAAGUACAGGUCUCUCUAUCUGUUUCUCAAUCCUGGAACCUCUGGCCUCCGCAAGAAGGAGCAGUUUGAAGGAUUAAAAUGUUGUCAUUUGGAAUAGAUGAUCUUGGUUUAGCAAAUUGAUAGUGAGAUGGAACACCCCUAACUGCGUUGUAAGUUCGACUCACUCAUCCUAUAAGAGUUGCUUCAUAAUUGUAAUAUUCAAAACCAGAUGACUUUUUCAGUUAUGGUUCGAUUAUUAUUUUC
Malus domestica (apple) is the source of this 1545-nucleotide non-coding RNA. The record is from RefSeq and is a predicted model, not a curated record. NCBI's taxonomy places the organism in Eukaryota, Viridiplantae, Streptophyta, Magnoliopsida, Rosales, Rosaceae.